RNAcentral lists this non-coding RNA (24 nucleotides) under Rattus norvegicus (Norway rat). The record is from RNAcentral. Lineage: Eukaryota; Metazoa; Chordata; Mammalia; Rodentia; Muridae.
UGAGACAGAGGCCGGUGACAGUGA